UGUGAUAUUGACUAAGUCAUUUAACUUCUUUGGGCCUCAGUUUUUUUAUUCACUAAAAGAGGAGGCUAGGAAAUAUGUAUCUAUAUAUAUAAAAAUUAUUAUUUUUCCAUAUUACAUGUUGAUACAAUUUUAAAUAUUCAUUUUUUUUAUAUUUUUCAGUAUUUCUUUCCUUCCCUCUCAUUCCUCUCUACUCCCCAAGAAUGCAGAUUAAACAAUAGCUGGACUUGUUGAAGUACUGAACAAUGAUGACAUCUAUACAACAGAAAAUUCAAGAAGUGAAAAAUUCAUGAUUCCCAGAUGUUAAUAUAUAUCAAAACAUUGGGGAUAAAAUAAAACACGUAAAGAAAUGAGGCCA
Molecule: long non-coding RNA, 355 nt
Filed under: Monodelphis domestica (gray short-tailed opossum)
Lineage: Eukaryota; Metazoa; Chordata; Mammalia; Didelphimorphia; Didelphidae
Description: lncRNA (ENSMODG00000045168.1)
Source: RNAcentral